AUUGAACGCUGGCGGCAGGCCUAACACAUGCAAGUCGAGCGGAUGAGGGGAGCUUGCUCCCUGAUUUAGCGGCGGACGGGUGAGUAAUGCCUAGGAAUCUGCCUGGUAGUGGGGGAUAACGUUCCGAAAGGAACGCUAAUACCGCAUACGUCCUACGGGAGAAAGCAGGGGACCUUCGGGCCUUGCGCUAUCAGAUGAGCCUAGGUCGGAUUAGCUAGUUGGUGAGGUAAUGGCUCACCAAGGCGACGAUCCGUAACUGGUCUGAGAGGAUGAUCAGUCACACUGGAACUGAGACACGGUCCAGACUCCUACGGGAGGCAGCAGUGGGGAAUAUUGGACAAUGGGCGAAAGCCUGAUCCAGCCAUGCCGCGUGUGUGAAGAAGGUCUUCGGAUUGUAAAGCACUUUAAGUUGGGAGGAAGGGCUGCUGGUUAAUACCCUGCAGUUUUGACGUUACCAACAGAAUAAGCACCGGCGAACUUCGU
Molecule: ribosomal RNA, 483 nt
Filed under: uncultured bacterium
Lineage: Bacteria
Description: partial 16S ribosomal RNA
Rfam family: Bacterial small subunit ribosomal RNA
Source: RNAcentral